RNAcentral lists this transfer RNA (527 nucleotides) under Xanthomonas campestris pv. campestris. Its description in RNAcentral is "partial contains 16S ribosomal RNA, 16S-23S ribosomal RNA intergenic spacer, and 23S ribosomal RNA". The stretch from base 197 to 270 matches the Rfam family "tRNA". Lineage: Bacteria; Pseudomonadati; Pseudomonadota; Gammaproteobacteria; Lysobacterales; Lysobacteraceae. The record is from RNAcentral.
CUCCUUUUGAGCAUGACGUUAUUCGUCCUGUCGGGCGUCCUCACAAAUUACCUGCAUUCAGAGAUUCAUACCGGCACAGGUCGGUAUGCGAAGUCCCUUUUGGGGCCUUAGCUCAGCUGGGAGAGCACCUGCUUUGCAAGCAGGGGGUCGUCGGUUCGAUCCCGACAGGCUCCACCAUAUUGAGUGAAAAGACUUCGGGUCUGUAGCUCAGGUGGUUAGAGCGCACCCCUGAUAAGGGUGAGGUCGGUAGUUCGAGUCUACCCAGACCCACCACUCUGAAUGUAGUGCACACUUAAGAAUUUAUAUGGAUCAGCGUUGAGGCUGAGACAUGUUCUUUUAUAACUUGUGACGUAGCGAGCGUUUGAGAUAUCUAUCUAAACGUGUCGUUGAGGCUAAGGCGGGGACUUCGAGUCCCUAAAUAAUUGAGUCGUAUGUUCGCGUUGGUGGCUUUGUACCCCACACAACACGGCAUGUAGCUCCGAGGCAACUUGGGGUUAUAUGGUCAAGCGAAUAAGCGCACACGGUGA